UGGUCAAGUUAUUAAGGGUGCAGGGCGGAUGCCUUGGCACUAGGAGCCGAUGAAGGACGUGAUAAGCUGCGAUAAGCUUCGGGGAGUUGCACGUAAACUUUGAUCCGAAGAUUUCCGAAUGAGGAAACUCACUUAGAGUAAUGUCUAAGUAUCAUUAAGUGAAUACAUAGCUUAAUGAGGGGAACUCAGGGAACUGAAACAUCUAAGUACCUGAAGGAAGAGAAAGAAAUUCGAUUCCGUAAGUAGCGGCGAGCGAACGCGGA
RNAcentral lists this ribosomal RNA (263 nucleotides) under Clostridioides difficile. RNAcentral describes it as "partial 23S ribosomal RNA". It matches the Rfam family "Bacterial large subunit ribosomal RNA", at positions 1 to 263 of the family's 2925-position model. Lineage: Bacteria; Bacillati; Bacillota; Clostridia; Peptostreptococcales; Peptostreptococcaceae. The record is from RNAcentral.